GAUGAAGAACGUAGCGAAAUGCGAUACGUAAUGUGAAUUGCAAAUUCCGUGAAUCAUCGAGUCUUUGAACGCACAUUGCGCCCCCUGGUAUUCCGGGGGGCAUGCCUGUCCGAGCGUCAUUGCUGCCCUCAAGCACGGCUUGUGUGUUGGGCCCCGUCCUCCGAUCCCGGGGGACGGGCCCGAAAGGCAGCGGCGGCACCGCGUCCGGUCCUCGAGCGUAUGGGGCUUUGUCACCCGCUCUGUAGGCCCGGCCGGCGCUUGCCGAUCAACCCAAAUUUUUAUCCAGGUUGACCUCGGAUCAGGUAGGGAUACCCGCUGAACUUAAGCAUAUCAAUAAGCGGAGGA
Molecule: unclassified non-coding RNA, 345 nt
Filed under: soil metagenome
Description: partial contains 5.8S ribosomal RNA, internal transcribed spacer 2, and large subunit ribosomal RNA
Rfam family: 5.8S ribosomal RNA (bases 1-119)
Source: RNAcentral